AGUGAACGCUGGCGGUAGGCCUAACACAUGCAAGUCGAACGGCAGCACAGUAAGAGCUUGCUCUUACGGGUGGCGAGUGGCGGACGGGUGAGGAAUACAUCGGAAUCUACUUUUUCGUGGGGGAUAACGUAGGGAAACUUACGCUAAUACCGCAUACGACCUACGGGUGAAAGCAGGGGAUCUUCGGACCUUGCGCGAUUGAAUGAGCCGAUGUCGGAUUAGCUAGUUGGCGGGGUAAAGGCCCACCAAGGCGACGAUCCGUAGCUGGUCUGAGAGGAUGAUCAGCCACACUGGAACUGAGACACGGUCCAGACUCCUACGGGAGGCAGCAGUGGGGAAUAUUGGGCAAUGGGCGAAAGCCUGAUCCAGCCAUACCGCGUGGGUGAAGAAGGCCUUCGGGUUGUAAAGCUCUUUUGUUGGGAAAGAAAAGCAGCAGGUUAAUACCCCGCUGUUCUGACGGUACCCAAAGAAUAAGCACCGGCUAACUUCGUG
This 492-nucleotide ribosomal RNA is filed under the name uncultured bacterium. RNAcentral describes it as "partial 16S ribosomal RNA". It matches the Rfam family "Bacterial small subunit ribosomal RNA", at positions 29 to 507 of the family's 1533-position model. The record is from RNAcentral.